This 100-nucleotide small nuclear RNA is filed under the name Castor canadensis (American beaver). The record is from RNAcentral. Lineage: Eukaryota; Metazoa; Chordata; Mammalia; Rodentia; Castoridae.
GUGCUUGCUUCGGCAGCACAUAUACUAAAAUUGGAACAAUAGAGAGAAGAUUAGCAUGGCCCUUGUGCAAGGAUGAAUUCAUGAAACGUUCCAUAUUAUU